AGCGAACGCUAGCGGCGGGCCUAACACAUGCAAGUCGAGCGGAGGGGCAACCCUCAGCGGCGAACGGGUGAGUAACACGUAGGUAAUGUACCCUCUGGUGGGGAAUAACCGUGGGAAACCAUGGCUAAUACCGCAUAUGUCUUUCGAGAUGAAAGCAGCAAUGCGCCAGAGGAGCAGCCUGCGGCCGAUUAUUUAGUCCUAGUUGGUGAGGUAAUGGCUCACCAAGGGUACGAUCGGUAGCUGGUCUGAGAGGAUGAUCAGCCACACUGGAACUGAGACACGGUCCAGACUCCUACGGGAGGCAGCAGUGGGGAAUAUUGCGCAAUGGGCGAAAGCCUGACGCAGCCACGCCGCGUGAGUGAUGAAGGCCUUCGGUUGU
Molecule: ribosomal RNA, 379 nt
Filed under: uncultured bacterium
Lineage: Bacteria
Description: bacterial SSU rRNA
Rfam family: Bacterial small subunit ribosomal RNA
Source: RNAcentral